Molecule: ribosomal RNA, 497 nt
Filed under: uncultured bacterium
Lineage: Bacteria
Description: partial 16S ribosomal RNA
Rfam family: Bacterial small subunit ribosomal RNA
Source: RNAcentral
GAUGAACGCUGGCGGCGUGCCUAAUACAUGCAAGUCGAGCGGCCGCACGAUAAGCUUGUUCCUCUGCUGUUAGCGGCGGACGGGCGAGUAACACAUGGAUCACCUACUUCUUAUUCUGGGAUAACUUCGUGAAACCGGUGCCACUACCAGCUAAUAUUUUGUACGGCUUGGUUCAAAAGUUAUAGACGGCCUUGCUGACUCUUUUAGACGGAUCCGCGUUGCAUUGUCUAGUUGGUAAGGUAACGGCUUACCAAGGCAACGAUGCGUAGCCGACCUGAGAGGAUGAUCGGCCACACUGGAACUGAGACACGGUCCAGACUCCUACGGGAGGCAGCAGUGGGGAAUAUUGCACAAUGGGCGCAAGCCUGAUGCAGCAAUACCGCGUGAGUGAAGAAGGCCUUCGGAUCGUAAAGCUCUGUUGUUAGGAAAGAAAAUAUGUGUAAGUAUCUGUGCCUGUUUUGACGGUACCUAAUGAGAAAGCAACGGCUAACUUCGUG